GGCCUAACACAUGCAAGUCGAGCGGUAGCAGGAAGUGCUUGCACUUCGCUGACGAGCGGCGGACGGGUGCGUAACACGUAGGAAUCUGCCCGGUAGUGGGGGAUAGCCCGGAGAAAUUCGGAUUAAUACCGCAUACGCCCUAAGGGGGAAAGCAGGGGAUCUUCGGACCUUGCGCUAUCGGAUGAGCCUGCGUCGGAUUAGCUAGUUGGUGGGGUAAAGGCCUACCAAGGCGACGAUCCGUAGCUGGUCUGAGAGGAUGAUCAGCCACACUGGGACUGAGACACGGCCCAGACUCCUACGGGAGGCAGCAGUGGGGAAUAUUGCACAAUGGGCGAAAGCCUGAUGCAGCCAUGCCGCGUGUGUGAAGAAGGCCCUAGGGUUGUAAAGCACUUUCAGUGGGGAGGAAAGGUCGAAGGUUAAUACCCUUUGGCUGUGACGUUACCCACAGAAGAAGCACCGGCUAACUCCGUGCCAGCAGCCGCGGUAAUACGGAGGGUGCGAGCGUUAAUCGGAAUUACUGGGCGUAAAGCGUGCGUAGGCGGCCAUUUAAGUUGGAUGUGAAAGCCCCGGGCUCAACCUGGGAACUGCAUCCAAAACUGGGUGGCUUGAGUGCGAGAGAGGAGUGUGGAAUUUCCUGUGUAGCGGUGAAAUGCGUAGAUAUAGGAAGGAACACCAGUGGCGAAGGCGACACUCUGGCUUGACACUGACGCUGAGGUACGAAAGCGUGGGGAGCAAACAGGAUUAGAUACCCUGGUAGUCCACGCCGUAAACGAUGUCUACUAGUUGUCGGUGGUCUUGUACUGCUGGUAACGCAGCUAACGCGAUAAGUAGACCGCCUGGGGAGUACG
RNAcentral lists this ribosomal RNA (848 nucleotides) under uncultured bacterium. Its description in RNAcentral is "bacterial SSU rRNA". It matches the Rfam family "Bacterial small subunit ribosomal RNA", at positions 45 to 884 of the family's 1533-position model. The record is from RNAcentral.